Molecule: ribosomal RNA, 460 nt
Filed under: uncultured bacterium
Lineage: Bacteria
Description: partial 16S ribosomal RNA
Rfam family: Bacterial small subunit ribosomal RNA
Source: RNAcentral
CCUACGGGGGGCAGCAGUGAGGAAUAUUGGUCAAUGGACGAGAGUCUGAACCAGCCAAGUAGCGUGAAGGAUGACUGCCCUAUGGGUUGUAAACUUCUUUUAUAUGGGAAUAAAAUGUUCCACGUGUGGGAUUUUGUAUGUAACAUAUGAAUAAGGAUCGGCUAACUCCGUGCCAGCAGCCGCGGUAAUACGGAGGAUCCGAGCGUUAUCCGGAUUUUUUGGGUUUAAAGGGAGCGUAGGUGGAUUGUUAAGUCAGUUGUGAAAGUUUGCGGCUCAACCGUAAAAUUGCAGUUGAAACUGGCAGUCUUGAGUACAGUAGAGGUAGGCGGAAUUCGUGGUGUAGCGGUGAAAUGCUUAGAUAUCACGAAGAACUCCGAUUGCGAAGGCAGCUCACUGGACUGCAACUGACACUGAGGCUCGAAAGUGUGGGUAUCAAACAGGAUUAGAUACCCGGGUAGUC